Molecule: ribosomal RNA, 220 nt
Filed under: uncultured fungus
Lineage: Eukaryota; Fungi
Description: partial 18S ribosomal RNA
Rfam family: Eukaryotic small subunit ribosomal RNA (bases 38-220)
Source: RNAcentral
GGACCAUCAUGUCGGUCGUGCCUCGGUACGUACCGGCAUUUUUGGUUUCUCCCUUCUGACGAACCAUGAUGUCAUUUAUUUGGUGUCGUGGGAAAUCAGGACUGUUACUUUGAAAAAAUUAGAGUGUUUAAAGCAGGCUCACGCUUGAAUACAUUAGCAUGGAAUAAUGAAAUAGGACGGCAUGAUUCUAUUUUGUUGGUUUCUAGGAUCACCGUAAUGA